Molecule: microRNA precursor, 72 nt
Filed under: Aotus nancymaae (Ma's night monkey)
Lineage: Eukaryota; Metazoa; Chordata; Mammalia; Primates; Aotidae
Description: miRNA (ENSANAG00000009493.1)
Source: RNAcentral
GGAGAAUCGCUUGAACCUGGGAGGUGGAGGUUGCAGUGAGCUGAGAUCACGCCACUGCACUCCAGCCUGGGC